This 216-nucleotide long non-coding RNA is filed under the name Elaeis guineensis (African oil palm). Its description in RNAcentral is "long non-coding RNA (EGUI_LNC027720)". The record is from RNAcentral. Lineage: Eukaryota; Viridiplantae; Streptophyta; Magnoliopsida; Arecales; Arecaceae.
UCCCCAAUUCAUGAUCGACCUCCCAACUAUGUGCCAGUAUUUGAUGGUAGAUCAUUAAAGCUGGACUGCCAAAUGAGUUUCGGUUCGAUUACAGUGUCUACAAUCAGCAUCAUGGAACACAGUCGACUGUCAGUCAGCGUCAGUCAGCAAGCCGACUAAUUAUUGGUAAAUUUUGACUGUCUACCCAGACAACAACUUACCUCAAUGAUUCGGUCG